This 1080-nucleotide long non-coding RNA is filed under the name Oryctolagus cuniculus (rabbit). Its description in RNAcentral is "lncRNA (ENSOCUG00000032245.1)". Lineage: Eukaryota; Metazoa; Chordata; Mammalia; Lagomorpha; Leporidae. The record is from RNAcentral.
AUGCUCCUCCUGCAUUCCCACCCCCUGCCUCUAAUCUGUCAACUCAUUUACUUUAUGAUGGGAAUCAAGGCUCCAAGACAGCAGGCAAAGAUGAAGUCCACUGCUGAGCCAGGCUUUGCCAACGCGGAAGGGAACCUUGCUGCCAGCAGUCACUCUGACACUUGUAACCUGCUGGCUGUGAAUCCUGGCUUGUCCUCCGGGGUCACACAGCCUGGGAGACCAACCAGAGAGGCUCAGAGAUAUCAAAUCAGGAAUCACAUUAUUUUUCGUGGGAAAACCCAGUGAAGGGGAAAACCACAGGGCCUCCAAACCGUCAUCUGAUUUUUUUUCAAAGAUUUAUUUAUUUAUUUGAAAGUCAGAGUUACAGAGAGAGGAGAGGAAGAGAGAGAGAGAGAAAGAGGUCUUCCAUUUCGUUGGCUCGCUCCCCAAUUGGCCGCAACAGCCAGAGCUGAGCCGAUCUGAAACCAGGAGCCAGGAGCUUCUUCUGGGUCUCCCAUGUGAGUGCAGGGGCCCAAGGACUUGAGCCAUCCUCCACUGCUUUCCCAGGCCAUAGCAGAGAGCUGGAUUGGAAGUGGAGCAGCCGGGACUCGAACCAGCAGCCAUAUGGGAUGCCGACACUUCAGGUCAAGGCCGCUGCAGCACAACGCCAGCCCGUCAUCAUCUGAUUCUUAAUGCUGUGGUCCAUGGGUCUGCUGUACCAACAGCAUCCCAGGCAGGGGGCCGUCUGACCCACAGAAAUGGAUUUCUCACAGUUCUGGGGGCUGGAAGUCCAAGACCAAAAAGCCAGCAGACUCGGCAUCUGGUGGGGCCUCCCCCACUCCUGGCACAUAAGAGUGAUCUUUCUGUGUGCCCUCACAUGGUGGGAGCAGAGAGGGAAGCUCUCUGGUUUCUUUUUUUUUUUAAGGAGAUGAAUCUAAGUCCAGGAGGAGUCACUUAGAAUUUCAAAAGCACGUCUGAUCUCAUCCUAUCUUGAUGCGUCUUAAGCUAUUUUUAAAAACUUAUUUGAGAAGCAGCGAGAGAAAAGGAGAAAGAACUGCCAGCCCUUGGUUCAUUCACCAGAUGCCCACAAAGGACAGAGCU